Molecule: ribosomal RNA, 490 nt
Filed under: uncultured bacterium
Lineage: Bacteria
Description: partial 16S ribosomal RNA
Rfam family: Bacterial small subunit ribosomal RNA
Source: RNAcentral
GAUGAACGCUGGCUACAGGCUUAACACAUGCAAGUCGAGGGGAAACGACGGGGAAGCUUGCUUCCCCGGGCGUCGACCGGCGCACGGGUGAGUAACGCGUAUCCAACCUGCCUCUGACUGAGGGAUAACCCGUCGAAAGUCGGCCUAAUACCUCAUGGUAUCGUCUGCGGGCAUCCAACGACGAUUAAAGAUUUCAUCGGUCAGGGAUGGGGAUGCGUCUGAUUAGCUUGUUGGCGGGGUAACGGCCCACCAAGGCUACGAUCAGUAGGGGUUCUGAGAGGAAGGUCCCCCACAUUGGAACUGAGACAAGGUCCAAACUGCUACGGGAGGCAGCAGUGAGGAAUAAUGGUCAAUGGGCGAGAGCCUGAACCAGCCAAGUAGCGUGCAGGAAGACGGCCCUAUGGGUUGUAAACUGCUUUUAUGCGGGGAUAAAGUGAGGGACGUGUCCCUCAUUGCAGGUACCGCAUGAAUAAGGACCGGCGAAUUCCGU